GGGGCGGCUAUCCCCCUUAAGGAGCGGAGGCCAGGGAGUAAUUCCUUGGCCGGAAGGCCCGGUAAUUCUUGUAAAAUCCCUCUGCUGGGAUAAGAACAAUCCAAUUAUUGCUCUUCAACGAGGAUCCUAGUAAGCGCAAGUCAUCAGCUUGCGUGAUUAACGUCCCUGCCCUUUGUACACACCGCCGUCGCUAUACCGAUUGAAUGGCUCAGUGAAGCGUCCGGACUGGCCCAGGGAGGUGGGCAACUACCACCCAGGGCCGGAAAGCUCUCCAAACUCGGUCAUUUAGAGGAAGUAAAAGUCGUAACAAGGUCUCCGUUGGUGAACCAGCGGAGGGAUCAUUACCGAGUUAUCCAACUCCCAACCCCUGUGAAUUAUACCUUUAAUUGUUGCUUCGGCGGGACUUCGCGCCCGCCGGGGACCCAAACCUUCUGAAUUUUUUAAUAAGUAUCUUCUGAGUGGUUAAAAAAAUGAAUCAAAACUUUCAACAACGGAUCUCUUGGUUCUGGCAUCGAUGAAGAACGCAGCGAAAUGCGAUAAGUAAUGUGAAUUGCAGAAUUCAGUGAAUCAUCGAAUCUUUGAACGCACAUUGCGCCCGUCAGUAUUCUGGCGGGCAUGCCUGUUCGAGCGUCAUUACGCCCCUCAAGUCCCCUGUGGACUUGGUGUUGGGGAUCGGCGAGGCUGGUUUUCCAGCGCAGCCGUCCCUCAAAUCAAUUGGCGGUCUCGCCGUGGCCCUCCUCUGCGCAGUAGUAAAACACUCGCAACAGGAGCCCGGCGCGGUCCACUGCCGUAAAACCCCCCAACUUUUUAUAGUUGACCUCGAAUCAGGUAGGACUACCCGCUGAACUUAAGCAUAUCAAUAAGCGGAGGAAAAGAAACCAACAGGGAUUGCCCCAGUAACGGCGAGUGAAGCGGCAACAGCUCAAAUUUGAAAUCUGGUCCCCAGGGCCCGAGUUGUAAUUUGCAGAGGAUGCUUUUGGUGAGGUGCCUUCCGAGUUCCCUGGAACGGGACGCCAUAAGGUGAGAGCCCCGUCUGGUUGGAUACCGAGCCUCUGUAAGCUCCUUCGACAAGUCAAUAUUUGGAAUGCUGCUCUAAUGGGAGGAUAUGCUUCUAAAGCUAAUUUGGCCAAAACCUUCUUCCUAAAGCAAAAAUUUUGGGCCAAAAGA
This 1167-nucleotide ribosomal RNA is filed under the name Metarhizium anisopliae. Its description in RNAcentral is "eukaryotic LSU rRNA". The stretch from base 1 to 344 matches the Rfam family "Eukaryotic small subunit ribosomal RNA", at positions 1483 to 1831 of the family's 1831-position model. Lineage: Eukaryota; Fungi; Ascomycota; Sordariomycetes; Hypocreales; Clavicipitaceae. The record is from RNAcentral.